Molecule: long non-coding RNA, 455 nt
Organism: Lytechinus variegatus (green sea urchin)
Lineage: Eukaryota; Metazoa; Echinodermata; Echinoidea; Temnopleuroida; Toxopneustidae
Exons: 3
Source: RefSeq, a predicted model, not a curated record
CAGGGCCCCGUUGCAUAAAACUUUUGCCAGACUUAUUUUUGCCAUAGUUUUUCUAUGGCAAAAACCUUAGUUUUUUGCCAGAGUUUCAAAUUCGGUCAAAAUUUCAUGGCAAAAAAACUCUGGCAAACUUUUGCCAGAGUUUUUUAAUUUGCCAGAGUUUUUUAAGACUGAAUAAACUUGGACGAGGAUGAACGCCGAUAUCAGCCGAUAUUGCGAUCGGUAUCUGCAGCUGCUGAAAAAAUCUUGGAGACUCCACAAAACCUUAAAUUGUUGAGGUAUAUACACAGGAGCAACUCACGUGCAUGUGUGACCUUUUUGAGAAGAAACCACGCAAGACUGUUGGUUAGCAAUCACCAUGUAAAAGGGUUUGCAGAAACCAGACAGAGGGCCUGGGUGGAGAUGCUAUUGGCUGCCUAGGUCGGACUGCCUCCAACCUGAGGUGGUCUUGGAGUGAU